AACGAACGCUGGCGGCGUGCCUAACACAUGCAAGUCGAACGAGACCUUCGGGCCUAUUGGCGCACCGCUGCGUAACGCGUGGGAACCUGCCCGUAGGUUCGGAAUCACUCCCCGUAGGGGGUCCUAAUACAGGUUGAUGUCUUCGCAGCAAAGAGGUCUCGCUUUUGGGUGGGGCCUCGUUGGUUUAGCUGGUUGGUAGGGUAAAAGCAUAUCAACGCGACGAUGCAGAGCUGGUGUGUGAGGAUGAUCAGUAACACUGGGGAUGAGACACGGCCCAGACUGCUACGGAAGGCAGCAGUGGAGUAUAUUGUACAAUGGGCGAAAGCGUGAUAAAGCAAUGCCGGGUGAGUGAUGAAGGGGUUAGGGUUGUACAGCUGUCUUACACGGGAUGAUAAUGACGGUACCGGGAGAAUAAGCUCCGGCUAACUCCGUG
RNAcentral lists this ribosomal RNA (433 nucleotides) under uncultured bacterium. Its description in RNAcentral is "partial 16S ribosomal RNA". It matches the Rfam family "Bacterial small subunit ribosomal RNA", at positions 29 to 507 of the family's 1533-position model. The record is from RNAcentral.